GGAGAGAUGGCUCAGUGGUUAAGAGCACUGACUGCUCUUCCAGAGGUCCUGAGUUCAAGUCCCAGCAACCACA
RNAcentral lists this transfer RNA (73 nucleotides) under Mus musculus (house mouse). RNAcentral describes it as "tRNA-Ser". The record is from RNAcentral. Lineage: Eukaryota; Metazoa; Chordata; Mammalia; Rodentia; Muridae.